Molecule: transfer RNA, 80 nt
Rfam family: tRNA
About the family: Transfer RNA (tRNA) molecules are approximately 80 nucleotides in length.
Source: Rfam
GGUCGAAUGGCCGAGUGGUCUAAGGCGGUGUCUUCAGGCGGCAUUCUUCCGGGGCGCGGGUUCGAAUCCCGCUUCGACCA